Molecule: ribosomal RNA, 880 nt
Filed under: uncultured bacterium
Lineage: Bacteria
Description: bacterial SSU rRNA
Rfam family: Bacterial small subunit ribosomal RNA
Source: RNAcentral
GUUUGAUCAUGGCUCAGAAUCAACGCUGGCGGCGUGCCUAACACAUGCAAGUCGAACGCGAAAGCGGCUUCGGCCGCAAGUAGAGUGGCAAACGGGUGAGUAACACGUGGGUGACCUGCCUUCGAGUGGGGGAUAACGUUUCGAAAGGAACGCUAAUACCGCAUAACAUCCUGCCUUUGGACAGGCGGAGAUCAAAGCCGGGGACCGCAAGGCCUGGCGCUUGGAGAGGGGCCCGCGCCGGAUUAGCUAGUUGGUGAGGUAACGGCCCACCAAGGCGACGAUCCGUAGCCGGCCUGAGAGGGCGGACGGCCACACUGGGACUGAGACACGGCCCAGACUCCUACGGGAGGCAGCAGUGGGGAAUUGUUCGCAAUGGGCGCAAGCCUGACGACGCAACGCCGCGUGGAGGACGAAGAUCUUCGGAUCGUAAACUCCUGUCGAGCGGGACGAACGGCUCGGGACCUAACACGUCUCGGGAGUGACGGUACCGCUAAAGGAAGCCCCGGCUAACUCCGUGCCAGCAGCCGCGGUAAUACGGGGGGGGCCAGCGUUGUUCGGAAUUACUGGGCGUAAAGGGCGCGUAGGCGGCCUUCUAAGUCAGACGUGAAAUCCCUCGACUCAACCGGGGAACUGCGUCUGAUACUGGAAGCCUUGAAUCCGGGAGAGGGAUGCGGAAUUCCAGGUGUAGCGGUGAAAUGCGUAGAUAUCUGGAGGAACACCGGUGGCGAAGGCGGCAUCCUGGACCGGUAUUGACGCUGAGGCGCGAAAGCCAGGGGAGCAAACGGGAAUUAGAUACCCCGGUAGUCCUGGCCCUAAACGAUGGAAUGCUUUGGUGUGCGGGUAUCGAUCCCUGCCGUGCCGGAUCUAACGCGUUAAGCAU